Molecule: long non-coding RNA, 573 nt
Organism: Polypterus senegalus (gray bichir)
Lineage: Eukaryota; Metazoa; Chordata; Cladistia; Polypteriformes; Polypteridae
Exons: 3
Source: RefSeq, a predicted model, not a curated record
AUGAGAUCACGAAUACAAGCGGCUGAAAUGAGUUUCCUCCGCAAAGUGUCUGGGCUUUCCCUUUGUAAAGGACACAUGAUGCUUCAGCAGGGCUUGAAAUACAGCGGUUUGCGUUUCUUUUAUUUUGACAAGUCAUUGGGUGUCUUUAGUUUGCAUAGUUAAUUGUGCGGUUUUGCCGGGAAUAGGAAAGGAAAAUGGCGACAUAUGGGGUUAACAAUCAAGCACCUUGCUGAAAGGUGAACGAGCUCUUACGGUGUGUUUAUGGAACAAGGUCACGGAAAUGAUAAUAAAAUGCAAGAAGAUGCGAGAAGUUGGUGAGGUAGAGAAAUAUAUCAAACUGGUGGUACACAACCAAAGUCAUCUGGAUAUGCUAGGCAGUCAGCCCAGCUUGUGAAGGUCAGAAGGAAAAUGAGAGGUCAGCCACUUUAGUUUAUGUGCAGCCAGACUGAUCAAAGGAAGAGGCCAGAGGAAAGGAAUGCGUUUUGAUUUCAUGAAAAUAAGAACUCCAUCUAGGAUAUUUUCUCUAAAAUACAUACCAGCAACUAGAACCAAGAGGACCUGGCUCUGCUAAUC